UCCGGUUUGUCACCGGCAGUCACUUUAGAGUGCCCAACUAAAUGCUGGCAACUAAAAUCAAGGGUUGCGCUCGUUGCGGGACUUAACCCAACAUCUCACGACACGAGCUGACGACAACCAUGCACCACCUGUCACUCUGUCCCCGAAGGGAAAGCUGUAUCUCUACAGUGAUCAGAGGAUGUCAAGACCUGGUAAGGUUCUUCGCGUUGCUUCGAAUUAAACCACAUGCUCCACCGCUUGUGCGGGCCCCCGUCAAUUCUUUUGAGUUUCAGCCUUGCGGCCGUACUCCCCAGGCGGAGUGCUUAAUGCGUUAACUUCAGCACCAAGGGGCGGAAACCCCCUAACACCUAGCACUCAUCGUUUACGGCGUGGACUAC
RNAcentral lists this unclassified non-coding RNA (377 nucleotides) under uncultured Bacillaceae bacterium. RNAcentral's name for it is "contains 16S-23S intergenic spacer region". Lineage: Bacteria; Bacillati; Bacillota; Bacilli; Caryophanales; Bacillaceae. The record is from RNAcentral.